RNAcentral lists this transfer RNA (88 nucleotides) under Gammaproteobacteria bacterium. RNAcentral describes it as "tRNA-OTHER". It matches the Rfam family "tRNA". From Rfam's summary of the family: Transfer RNA (tRNA) molecules are approximately 80 nucleotides in length. Their secondary structure includes four short double-helical elements and three loops (D, anti-codon, and T loops). The record is from RNAcentral. Lineage: Bacteria; Pseudomonadati; Pseudomonadota; Gammaproteobacteria.
UCCUCAAUAGCUCAGUUGGUAGAGCGAUGGACUGUACUCUUGUCACAAUCAGCAUGUGUCACUGGUUCGAGCCCAGUUUGGGGAGCCA